AUAUUUCCCAUUGUUUAGGUGUACCUAUUAUAGUGUCUUAUGAACCAUUUAUUACAUGUUGUGUAUACUGAUUAUACAUGCUAAAUAGGUGCCAAUUCAUCUUAUCCCUAACACAAGCUUUACUGAAAUACUGUCCUCCUGGGAAAUCCCAAGGCGCUCGCAGGCGAGACUGGAUAUGCAGUCCCUCCAGCAUGUUCUGGUGUGCCUUGUGGUCUCCUCCCAGCUUUGCAGGGAAGCAUCUGGAGAGGCAUCAUGAUCAGAUGCCCAAACCACAAAGCAGCGGUUCUGCACUGAGCUCCUUUUGGAUAUCUGAGCUCCUCACCCUGCCCAAAAGCCCAAUAACCUUAAAAAAAAAAUUGCAACCUUUUUUAUUUUGACCUUUUUAAUUUAUGCAUGUUAUGAAUUAAAUGCAUAUGUUGGAUCUUUAGAGACCUGAGACCAGAUCGCACCCUGUCUAAUUCCAUCAUUGUAUUCAGCUAUGCUCCCAAGUCCCUUCGGUUCCUCAAACUAUUUGUUUUGAACAAUCCUCUCGUGUCAAAACUGCCGAACAUUUUUGUCUAAUGUUUUUCUCCACAACAGACUUAAGAAGUGCUGCAUGUUACACAGACAUGUCAAUCUUGUCAGGUCUUGCCAGCUGAGUCUUGUUCUAACUUGCCCUCCCCUCCUUCCAUCCCCAGCUAGUCUGGCACACACCCAACUGUAUUUCAGUAUAAUAGCCCUUUCAGGGUGAGGGUGUGUGAACGUGCAUGUGUGUUUGUGAUUUGGCCUUCAAAUAUCCGGAAAAGUGAGAUGUUUAAUAUGGUCAAAUCAAUGCCAUAUUUAACAUUUUUUAUAGGACAUUUUAUAUGAAAUCUUUAUUUUUCUUUGUCACAUCUUAUUUGUCUGUACUAUUCCUUAUUUGGCACCCUGCAUGUUUAUUUAAUGUGACGUUGUCUGAAAGGUGCCACCCAAAUGACAUUUAUUUUUCCCAGGGAUGCCAAAGCUUUGAGUUGUCUGUGUCAGCAUGAGUCAGCAAUUAACUGAAGCAAAAGACUAGUUUGCGCUCUCCUUAUGAAAUGGAAAGUUGCUACAGCACUGUCAGGGAUAUUUGUGUAUAUGACUCAGCCCAUUUAAAGAUAAGGCGGAGGAAGUGGGAGGGGAUGUUAUACGUGUGUGUGUGCGCUUAUGGGGGAAAAAAACAGGCAGGUAUUCAGAGUCUUGGCUUUCUUCCUCUUCUCUCGUUCCUUUUGUUGCAGAUUCCCUCACUGAGAGAGAAACUUCAAAUUCUUUUUCAAAGACCAAGGACCUUUAGUACACACGCAGACACUUGGACGACCCUACAACAAAACUUAAAGCUCCACUGGCUGCAUUUUAAGACGCCAGGUCUGCAUUCUUUGCUUUUGGUGCGGCUUCCUUCCAUUCAUCUCCCACCUCUCCUAUUCUCCUCCCACUUAUCACUCCCCCCUUAAUAGUGUUUUGUCCCUCCUCUACGAUGUCCACCCCUUUCCCCCCUACCCAACCAAGAGGCAUCGACCACAGCCAGCCCACCUGUGGAGAGACUAAGUGCAAUGGCCGCGGUGUCUGUGUGGCUCCUCCUGGUGGCGGCACCAUUUUGCUGUGUGACUGUAAGCUGGGCUACCGGGGCGAAUCCUGCGAGAAUACGGUCAAUGGGGCGUUAAGCAUACCGCUGACCCUGAGUGUGUUGGCCAUUGUCAUCGGGCUGCUGAUCCUCGCUUUCAUCUUAGCCAAGAUAAGGCAGAAGCAAAACAACAGGCGCAGGUACUGAAAUAUAUCAGAGGUGUGUUUCCAUUGAAAGCUUCUCCGUUUGUUGUUCUUAGGGAAUAGUUCAGCUUCUUGGGGAAAACGCUUGUUUGCUUUAUUUUCGAGAGUGAGAGGAGAAGAAUGACAUCAGUGUUGUCUGUGUGUUAAAAACUAAGCUGGAUUCAGGACGUGGUUAGCCUAGCUUAGCAUAAUGACUGGAAACAGCUAGCCUAGCUGUGAAAUGAAAAAAUAUGCGCAACAAGCUCUCUGACUAACACGUAUCCUGUUUGUGGAAAGUUGAACUGAAACUAAAAUAAAUUUUUGCUAAGAAAUUUUUGGUAUUUGUUUUGACUUGUAGGCUAUUCUUAUUUGGUCAAAAUUGUAAUUACAAGCAAGAAGACAUUUAUUUUUCUGCAAUGACAGCACCUCUUACAUUAGUGUUCCCCUGGGAAUGAGGGAAGUGAGUGAGUUUUUGGUUUCGACUGACAACUUCGGUACUAGUAAUUCAAUUAGGGCAAUAUCUGUAGAAAUAGUUUCAGUCACUUCAAUUCCAAAGGCCACACAGGCAGUUAAUCAGCUGCAGACCCCUCUUUCCCCCCAAAUGUCAGUCAACCGCAGCCAAGGGCAAUGCCAACCAAAAAUGUUUUAUCCUGAUUUCAGUUUGAACUCAAACAGAAUUGUAAAACUGAGUGUUUGUUGAUAGCGGGAGUUACCGUGCGUUCAGACCGCCGCCGGCGAGAGUGUCAAAGUGGCCACAAGUUAUUCAUUUUGUAUGUGAGCUGUUGCUCACCGCCAGCUCACAUACAGACGGUGCAGCGUCUUGGACAGCGAGGGCUGUUGAAGUCCGGGCAACGUUAUGGAAAUGAGCUAUGACGCGGUUCAACAAAUCGGAAUUUAGAAGUCCCGCGCUUAUAUUUUGUUACCAAGCGUUCGAACAAACUUUGCCUCAUAUUUCAUCUACAUCAGAGCGUCCACGAACCUUUCUACAACGUUGUUGGCAGAGCAGCCAGAGCUAAUUUUUAAGCUCUCGCUGGCAGCGGUCUGAACGCACGGUUUGGUACUGGAACCAUUUCUUGGCAAAAACAGCCGGACGAAGUGAAGGUUUGCAGCUUCCUGUAGUCUUGUCUUCACAGUGAGGCUGCCGGGUUUGGUACAAUAUCGUGCCGUACAGAGACAAAAGCCAAAACCUGUGCUCACCGACCGUAUCUGGCAACCCACGCUAUAGCCGGAGACGCUAUACAUUACUACACAUUUUUAUCUGAAAGCAUAUCCUGAUUUUACCUGAACUGGCUGUUUAUUUUAUUGUUUAUUUUAUUGCUUUUGUGUAUUUUAUGUAUUUUAUUUUUCAAUAUUUUGUCAUUCACUGUGGUAUUUUAUUUCUCUUGUUGUGAAGCAAUUUGUACUUUGUUUUGAUAAAUGCUCUAUAAAUACAGUUUGAUUAUUUAUUAUAAUUAUUAUUAUACAGAAGUUCUGAGCGAAUGGAUAAACAUUUGAUCGUCAAGAAGUUCCAGCACAUAACUCUCUAAAAUCACAAAUUGCUAUUUUUACAUUUCUGUUUAUGUACAGGCUGUUUAUGUACAGGCUACAUACUGUAGUUAGCCAAGCUAACUACAGUAUGUGUGACUCCAACACCAUGAUUUAAGAGAUUGAUAUUGAUCCUCUCAUCUCACAUGAAAAGAAAACAAAAAGGCGUUCUGUCCCGAAAUGGUAUACUAUUCCCCUCAACAGAAACUUCAUCAACAUAGGAUCGGAUAGAAUAGAUUAAUUUUGUUUACAUUUGUAAACACGUCAUCCCUCAUGAAUGAUAAGGGUUUCAUCUGCAACAUAAGAGGAGAAAAUGUUCACUGAUUAAAUGUAUGUUUUUGUCUGUUGUCCACAGAAGACAUCUGGCAGCAAAACAUGGCCUCAACGUUGUUGUGUAAUGUAGAUAAAUCGCUAUUAUAUCUGAGGUAGGCAUUCGGCUGGAAAUAUACAUUUCCAAAAUGAGUUAUUAUCUGGGAAUCACAUUUGAGUAUAGAUAUCUGUCUGUAAGUAUAGAAUGUAAAGUGUAUAAAAGUAUCAUAAUUUCAAUAAAAAAAUGUUUUAAGGAAAAAUUACUUCACCAAACAUUAAUUACAACACAUAAACUAACUCCUGAAACUACCAUAGUUAAAGGUGCCCUGUGGAGUUUUCUUGUACACCAACACAAGAUAUGUUUAUGUUCAGCGUUUCUCACUAAAAGGCAUUGUGUGUAAACUAUUUACAUCCAUGUCUGCUUGCUAGCAGUCUUCUUCUUCACUGCCUUUGUUUGCACAUUGCUACGGUUGUUGGUGUGUUACCGCCACUGUCUGUGUAAAGGCAGGAUGUGUAGCGCGCUGCCCGCAUGUACACGCUAUCGCGAUACAAAAAAAGAAAAACACAACGGGUCCCCACUCAUAAAAACAUUGCUCCAUAGCGCUACUAGUGGUCAAAAACACCACAGAAUACCUUUAACUCACACACCUUAAAUCUGUGUCUAAAUGUGGAGGCCAGAAACUUUUCUGAGACAUAAAAAUAAAUAACAAAAAAUAAUUACUCUCUCAUUUUCAUCCAGGUAAACUAUGACACUGUGGAUAGUGACACUAUUGAGCUUCCAUCAGCAUCCUUCAGCAGCAAGCUUACAGCGCAGUUUGUUGAAUCUUGUGUGAAUUUUGUAAAAAGGGAAUCACAUCUACUAUUUUUGAUGGCUGACUUGUGGCAACUACUCUACAGCUGAUGCUGAGGCAUCCCAAAAACUCAAAUACUGAACUGAUGAACUGAGCUUUAACGGGGUUAACAGUGACACAACUUCACUCCAGUAAUGAUGUUUUAAAUAUAUCAUUUGAUGAUGGAAAAAUAGAACUUUAAAGGAUAUAGCCUCCUGCGAGAUUUCUUUGUGUGUUUGUUUGUGUGGGAAGCAUCUGGUUUGCUCCCAGUUGAAAAUGAUCCGAUUUCAAUGCCCAGAACAGAAAAGCACCUACACGUCACUGUCCUUCUUUAUCUCUGCUUUCCGUCUGAAUGAAAACAAAAAGGGUCUUCGAUUUGUUAUUUGAGGUGAUCUGCAAAUUGGGAUUUGAGAUCCGACAGAACAGACUCCUCAAAAAGCAAGUUUUUAUGCUUAAGUUUGCAAAAGCAGUUGCGUCCCUAGAUUUCCUCCUAGUUUACCACAUUGUGCGUUUUGGUUCGUGUGUACUGUCUGUGUGCUUAUAAAGGAGACCCUGUGCUCUCUGCAAUCUCAACUCUCAGAUUUAUUUUGUCACAAAUAAACCUCUGUGCUGCCUAGCUUUGAUGUCUCAAAAGCAAGGCAAGACAGUGGUCAUCCUACGUGAUUUGACUUACUACUAACAAAGUUACUCUCGGGGAUGUAGCCAGUGUAAAGUGCUUUUUUGUGCUGUUUUUUUUCUACACUACUCGCUGAAUUCACUACUAUGUUUUAUAUGCCUUUUUUGUAACUAUUAAUUGCAUUAGCGAGUUGCAUAACUUUUUUUAUAUUCUUGUCUUUCUCUCUGUUUUUGUGUUGCUGGAAUAGAAGGAAUUCAUGUAGUCAGACUUGUAUCAGCAAGCUGCAUGUAACUACUGAGCAUUGACUUUUAAUCAUGAUUUUGGGCGAUAUUUUGACAACUGCAUAUUUCUUGCAUCCUGUUUUCAUGUCAGCUCUGUAAAGGACUAGCUUUGCAAAUAAGGAACAAGCUGAGUCUGGGCAUGAACUGAUUUGUCUGUCCAUGCCCCUGCAAUUGUCAAAGAUGUCUGUUCUCAUGGGCUAUUUCAAUGGCAUGUGUAGUUUUUAAUUAUAAAGUCACUCACUCUCAGAAUCAGUCAGUUAGUGCACACUGAUUAACAUGAGGAACUGUAUUUAGUUAAUUUAUUGUAAUAUACGACUACAAUACCUUUAACGCACAUACACUUUUUCUACUGUAUAUAUUGUAUUGUACAUUCACCAGCUUUCAAAUAAAAUGUACAAAAACCCCAACAAAUCAGUGUAUACAUAACCACUGUACAAAUAAAGUUUCGUAUAAAUAAAGUCAUCAGAGUUAUUGACAUGA
Long non-coding RNA from Siniperca chuatsi (mandarin fish), 5780 nucleotides. RefSeq lists it as uncharacterized. The transcript has 2 exons. NCBI's taxonomy places the organism in Eukaryota, Metazoa, Chordata, Actinopteri, Centrarchiformes, Sinipercidae. The record is from RefSeq and is a predicted model, not a curated record.